RNAcentral lists this ribosomal RNA (466 nucleotides) under Vreelandella stevensii. Its description in RNAcentral is "partial 16S ribosomal RNA". It matches the Rfam family "Bacterial small subunit ribosomal RNA", at positions 338 to 795 of the family's 1533-position model. The record is from RNAcentral. Lineage: Bacteria; Pseudomonadati; Pseudomonadota; Gammaproteobacteria; Oceanospirillales; Halomonadaceae.
CCUACGGGGUGCUGCAGUGGGGAAUAUUGGACAAUGGGCGAAAGCCUGAUCCAGCCAUGCCGCGUGUGUGAAGAAGGCCUUCGGGUUGUAAAGCACUUUCAGUGGGGAAGAAAGCCUUGGGGCUAAUACCCUCGAGGAAGGACAUCACCCACAGAAGAAGCACCGGCUAACUCCGUGCCAGCAGCCGCGGUAAUACGGAGGGUGCGAGCGUAUAAUCGGAAUUACUGGGCGUAAAGCGCGCGUAGGCGGUCUGAUAAGCCGGUUGUGAAAGCCCCGGGCUCAACCUGGGAACGGCAUCCGGAACUGGCAGGAUAGAGGGCAGGAGAGGAAGGUAGAAUUCCCGGUGUAGCGGUGAAAUGCGUAGAGAUCGGGAGGAAUACCAGUGGCGAAGGCGGCCUUCUGGACUGACACUGACGCUGAGGUGCGAAAGCGUGGGUAGCAAACAGGAUUAGAUACCCGGGUAGUC